AACAUAUCUAACUUAAGUUAAAAUAUAGACCAUUAUGUAUCGGCUACUUAAUCUUUCAAUAUAUUUAAACUUAUAUAGCUGUUGACUGAAUUCAAUCAAACAAAUUGAGGUAUUGGACAGUAAAAUCAGUAUCUUAAAAGGUUAGAUAGCCAAAUCAAAAUAAUCUAUUAAUCAGAUAAAUUCUGUACGUUUUUAUCUAAUAAAAAUUACUCUGGAAAUACAAAAUUGCUUCUAGAUAAGA
Molecule: long non-coding RNA, 241 nt
Filed under: Ananas comosus (pineapple)
Lineage: Eukaryota; Viridiplantae; Streptophyta; Magnoliopsida; Poales; Bromeliaceae
Description: long non-coding RNA (ACOM_LNC022845)
Source: RNAcentral